CAGUAGCCACGGUAAUACGAAGGGUGCAAGCGUUACUCGGAAUUACUGGGCGUAAAGCGUGCGUAGGUGGUUGUUUAAGUCUGCUGUGAAAGCCCUGGGCUCAACCUGGGAAUUGCAGUGGAUACUGGGCGACUAGAGUAAGGUAGAGGAUAGUGGAAUUUCCGGUGUAGCAGUGAAAUGCGUAGAGAUCGGAAGGAACAUCUGUGGCGAAGGCGACUAUCUGGGCCAACACUGACACUGAGGCACGAAAGCGUGGGGAGCAAACAGGAUUAGAUACCCCUGUAGUCCCUGUCUCUUAUAA
This 301-nucleotide ribosomal RNA is filed under the name uncultured bacterium. RNAcentral's name for it is "partial 16S ribosomal RNA". It matches the Rfam family "Bacterial small subunit ribosomal RNA", at positions 509 to 809 of the family's 1533-position model. The record is from RNAcentral.